GCGCGCCUGCCUCACCAAGACUCCGCCUGACACCCCGAGUCGCCGAACCCCGGCAGCGGCCACUUUUAUAGCUAAGGGGUGACCACGCCGUGCCUGCUCGUCUGUUUCGGUCAACAGUGUCUACUCUUCGGAUUGGAACCCUGCUAGGGGAUCCCUCCUCCCAUUUCAAACAGAAACUAGCCAUUAAGUAAACACCCGUUCCUGUUGGCUUAUUUUGGUCCACAGUUAGGAGGGAUCCAACAGGAGUUUCUUGAUGAAAUUGCGCUUUCAAAGACCAGAUGCUGUUUGGCUGACUUGAAGAAACGCAUGCCCCCUCCUCUGGUUCUAGUUUUCGCGUGGUUACGUCCUGUUGUUUUGAAGCAAACGAACUGUCACAUGCCACACAAUGAGACUUCCCCCAUCACUUUAAAAAAAGGAAAGAAAAGCCCUAAACGUAAAUAAGCCUAGCAGAGACAGCGCCCGGGUCUGCCUCCAGUCUGGGCUCUGUGCUGUUUUUGUUCGGUAACCUCGGUGGAGAUCCCGGCAGAAGAAACUCUGUGGAAAUAAGAUUAAACCCGAGGAGUACUAAGACGGCCAAGGGAUAACUAACUCGACUUCGGAGCGUCUGUUUCAGGAACUAGAGCUAGCCUGCCACCCUCCCUCAAAAAAAAAAAAAAAAAAAAAGACACCCCCGCCCCUAGAAUGCGUGGAGGCCAGAGUUUAAAAAGCCUGGGUGGUUUUUCCAAUUACAGGACUAAAAUGAAUCAACAGGGAAAAAAAGCGUCUCUCUAAGAAGGCAGCAACCUUACGAUUUUUUUCUUCUGUGGUUUGCUGACUGCUCGGGACAGAAGAGAACACACACCUAAAACGGCUCGGGGGGAGCGCGGUCCUGGGGACAAGCCACCCGCCCGGACGCUGCCCUGCAACUGCCGGGAGCACAGUUCCUUCCCGGACCUGGCUGCAGAUGAAUCAGCUGCUGCGCCCGGUGCGGGACAGAUGUGGCGCAGGGAGGGGGCCAGCGCCCCCGCCGCCCGUUAGAGGGGGCCGCCUCGCUAUUUCGUUUGAAGGGUUGUCUGUGGCUGGGAUUGGUGGCUCCUAUCCGCUGGGGAGCCGGGAGCGGAGGGAGGAGAGACGCAGGGAGGAGGAGCCGGGGGCUGGGCGACGCUGCGACUCCGCGGCCUGAGUGGCAGGAGCCUCGUCUGGAACCGGGCGGUUACUGGGGAGACGCUUUGUUUGCUAACUUCGAAAGCGGCUUCGGCUGCCUCGGCCGCUUUCGAAGCCACUCCACAAAACACGCCUUCGGCACACAUAGUUCCUUUUGGCGUCUUAUCUUCUGAAGCUGCCUCAAGGCCAAGCAAAGAAAGUUGUUAAAAAGUUAAGUUACUUUUCACAGCCUGCAAACCCUUCAAAGGUCCACCAAGUGAAGAUUGGAGGAUGUAUUUGUUUCUUCUACUCAACAACAAUUGAUAAAGCAUGAGUUCCAUCAAGGACUGUGUUCUAGGUGGAGAAAGGGUGACUCACCCAGUCAUUGGAUCUCUUUCACUUCCAGUCUCUGGAAGGCAGAUAUCUUUAUAAAAUAUGCAGACAGCUAGGCUCUAAACACUGGACAAGAGGUCUGUAAUCAUCCAGUCACAUCUCAGGUCAGAGGGUCUUGGACUGCUUAAGAAAGAGCUGACCAUUGUCUUAAGAACCUGGGGUGGCCUAGAGCCAUCUUGAGGUGAUUUUAUCAGCCCCAUCAGGAUAAUUCUCCUCAGCUUCCUUGCAUGAAUAGUGUAACUGGUGCUACUACUUUUGUUUUUAGUCACUUUUCCUAGCCUGCACUUCCCUUCCCGGCCCUCCUUUUUCCUCUGUAGCCAAGUCAUCACUUCUCUUUACCUAAAUGAGUUUUGGAAUCCAGGGGAUAAAACGAAAAGAUAGGCAGGGCGCUGUGGCUCACACCUGUAAUCCCACCACUUUGGGAGGCCGAGGUGGGUGGAUCACCUGAGGUCAGGAGUUUGAGACCAGCCUGACCAAUAUGGUGAAACCCCAUCUCUACUAAAAAUACAAAAAUUAGCCGGGCGUGGUGGCGUGUGACUGUAGUCCCAGCUACUUGGGAGGCUGAGACAGGAGGGUUGCUUGAACCUGGGAGACAGAGGUUGCAGAAAGCUGAGAUCGUGCCAUUGCACUCCAGCCUGGGUGACAGAGCAAGACUCUGUCUCAAAAACAAAAACAAAAAAACGGAAAGAUAAUUCCUUGAGCACAAGCUUCACUCUCCUUAUUCUCAACAUCUGUGUCUGUAUUAUUCUUUACAGUUUAUGAAACACUUAUUUAAUCUCACUUAAUGCCCAAACUAGUGAUGUUAGUUAUUUUUUUUAAAAAGUCAAGAUCACUUAACACAUCCAAAUAUAACAAAGUUAAAAGGCAUAAAACUGGGUACCCAACAUAAAUUAUCUGAUUAUAAAUCAAGUGGUCUCUGGGAAAUCUUGUCAUUUCAGAAGGUCAGAUGGAUGUGGAGGGCAGAAACUAACCUCAGAUUAUGCCAGGGACGCCAGGGCCUCCUGAACACUGUGGGGGGUUGUGCUCUGAAAUCUACCUCCAGUUUUACAAGAAGCUCUCUUCCAAUCUGUCUGCGCUUUUUUUUUUUUUUUUUUUUUUGCU
RNAcentral lists this long non-coding RNA (2616 nucleotides) under Homo sapiens (human). Its description in RNAcentral is "non-protein coding lnc-DLGAP1-11:2". The record is from RNAcentral. Lineage: Eukaryota; Metazoa; Chordata; Mammalia; Primates; Hominidae.